ACGGGAGGCAGCAGUGGGGAAUAUUGCACAAUGGGGGAAACCCUGAUGCAGCGACGCCGCGUGAGUGAAGAAGUAUUUCGGUAUGUAAAGCUCUAUCAGCAGGGAAGAAAAUGACGGUACCUGACUAAGAAGCCCCGGCUAACUACGUGCCAGCAGCCGCGGUAAUACGGAGGACCCGAGCGUUAUCCGGAUUUAUUGGGUUUAAAGGGUGCGCAGGCGGAGGAUUAAGUCAGCGGUGAAAUUCUCAUGCUCAACAUGAGAACUGCCAUUGAUACUGGUCCCCUUGAGAGAUGUCGAGGAUGGCGGAAUGUGAUGUGUAGCGGUGAAAUGCUUAGAUAUGUCACAGAACACCGAUUGCGAAGGCAGCUGUCCAGAGAUCAUCUGACGCUCAGGCACGAAAGCAUGGGUAUCAAACAGGAUUAGAUACCCUGGUA
Molecule: ribosomal RNA, 434 nt
Filed under: uncultured Anaerostipes sp.
Lineage: Bacteria; Bacillati; Bacillota; Clostridia; Lachnospirales; Lachnospiraceae
Description: partial 16S ribosomal RNA
Rfam family: Bacterial small subunit ribosomal RNA
Source: RNAcentral